This is a long non-coding RNA of Oncorhynchus keta (chum salmon), 1473 nucleotides long. RefSeq lists it as uncharacterized. The record is from RefSeq and is a predicted model, not a curated record. The transcript has 3 exons. Lineage: Eukaryota; Metazoa; Chordata; Actinopteri; Salmoniformes; Salmonidae.
UACUCUAGGGCAGUACGGUCAGGUCUUCUACUCUAGGGCAGUAUGGUCAGGUCUUCUACUCUAGGGCAGUACGGUCAGGUCUUCUACUCUAGGGCAGUACGGUCAGGUCUUCUACUCUAGGGCAGUACGGUCAGGUCUUCUACUCUAGGGCAGUACGGUCAGGUCUUCUACUCUAGGGCAGUACGGUCAGGUCUUCUACUCUAGGGCAGUACGGUCAGGUCUUCUACUCUAGGGCAGUACGGUCAGGUCUUCUACUCUAGGGCAGUACGGUCAGGUCUUCUACUCUAGGGCAGUACGGUCAGGUCUUCUACUCUAGGGCAGUACGGUCAGGUCUUCUACUCUAGGGCAGUACGGUCAGGUCUUCUACUCUAGGGCAGUACGGUCAGGUCUUCUACUCUAGGGCAGUACGGUCAGGUCUUCUACUCUAGGGCAGUACGGUCAGGUCUUCUACUCUAGGGCAGUACGGUCAGGUCUUCUACUCUAGGGCAGUACGGUCAGGUCUUUUACUCUAGGGCAGUACGGUCAGGUCUUCUACUCUAGGGCAGUACGGUCAGGUCUUCUACUCUAGGGCAGUACGGUCAGGUCUUCUACUCUAGGGCAGUACGGUCAGGUCUUCUACUCUAGGGCAGUACGGUCAGGUCUUCUACUCUAGGGCAGUACGGUCAGGUCUUCUACUCUAGGGCAGUACGGUCAGGUCUUCUACUCUAGGGCAGUACGGUCAGGUCUUCUACUCUAGGGCAGUACGGUCAGGUCUUCUACUCUAGGGCAGUACGGUCAGGUCUUCUACUCUAGGGCAGUACGGUCAGGUCUUCUACUCUAGGGCAGUACGGUCAGGUCUUCUACUCUAGGGCAGUACGGUCAGGUCUUCUACUCUAGGGCAGUACGGUCAGGUCUUCUACUCUAGGGCAGUACGGUCAGGUCUUCUACUCUAGGGCAGUACGGUCAGGUCUUCUACUCUAGGGCAGUACGGUCAGGUCUUCUACUCUAGGGCAGUACGGUCAGGUCUUCUACUCUAGGGCAGUACGGUCAGGUCUUCUACUCUAGGGCAGUACGGUCAGGUCUUCUACUCUAGGGCAGUACGGUCAGGUCUUCUACUCUAGGGCAGUACGGUCAGGUCUUCUACUCUAGGGCAGUACGGUCAGGUCUUCUACUCUAGGGCAGUACGGUCAGGUCUUCUACUCUAGGGCAGUACGGUCAGGUCUUCUACUCUAGGGCAGUACGGUCAGGUCUUCUACUCUAGGGCAGUACGGUCAGGUCUUCUACUCUAGGGCAGUACGGUCAGGUCUUCUACUCUAGGGCAGUACGGUCAGGUCUUCUACUCUAGGGAAGUACGGUCAGGUCUUCUACUCUAGGGCAGUACGGUCAGGUCUUCUACUCUAGGGCAGUACGGUCAGGUCUUCUACUCUAGGGCAGUACGUUCACGACUUAGUUUUUAUUGAAUUGUUUCCAAGAAAUGUUAGUCUCACCCUAUUC